CGGCGAAAGCCGGAUUAAUACCGCAUACGAUCYUGGGAUGAAAGCGGGGGACCGAAAGGCCUCGCGCUCAAGGGGCGGCCGAUGGCAGAUUAGCUAGUUGGUGGGGUAAAGGCCUACCAAGGCGACGAUCUGUAGCUGGUCUGAGAGGACGACCAGCCACACUGGGACUGAGACACGGCCCAGACUCCUACGGGAGGCAGCAGUGGGGAAUUUUGGACAAUGGGGGCAACCCUGAUCCAGCAAUGCCGCGUGUGUGAAGAAGGCCUUCGGGUUGUAAAGCACUUUUGUCCGGAAAGAAAACCUCCGUCCUAAUACGGUGGGGGGAUGACGGUACCGGAAGAAUAAGCACC
Molecule: ribosomal RNA, 350 nt
Filed under: uncultured Burkholderia sp.
Lineage: Bacteria; Pseudomonadati; Pseudomonadota; Betaproteobacteria; Burkholderiales; Burkholderiaceae
Description: bacterial SSU rRNA
Rfam family: Bacterial small subunit ribosomal RNA
Source: RNAcentral